RNAcentral lists this non-coding RNA (557 nucleotides) under Pongo abelii (Sumatran orangutan). The record is from RNAcentral. Lineage: Eukaryota; Metazoa; Chordata; Mammalia; Primates; Hominidae.
UCGGCGCCCCCUGCCGGCCGCGGAGGGCGCGCCUUGGAGGGAGAGGACUUUAGGUGACGCCGCCAGGAGGCGAAAUUUCACCUGCCAGCAGCUCUGGAGGUCAAAAGAAAUGAGACUGCUGGGCUAAGAUCAAGGUGUCAACAGGGCUGUAUUCCUUCCCGAGGCUCCAGGGGAGAAUCUGUUCUCUUGCCUUUCCCAGCUUCUAGAGGUUGCCUACAUUCCUUGGCUUGCGGCCCCUUCCUCCAUCUCCGGAAUCAGUAACGAAAGAUCCAAGGCCAUAUCCUGGCUGAGUUGGCUGAGUUGAGCAGGACACUUGACAAGGAGGCUGCUGAGCCUGCAACUCGAGUGUUCUGUUUGAGGAGCUCUGUGCUUUAUCAUAGAAAUGGAUCUGAGAUGGGGUCUCCCUAUGUUGCCCAGGCUCGUCUCAAAACCCUGGGCUCAAGCAUUCCUCCCAGCUUGGCCUCCUAAAGUACUGGGAUUAUAGGCGUGAACCACUGCGCCUGGCCUCAUGAUAUAACUUCUUAAUGUUAGUUUUUCCUUAAAGAGGGACUGUUUGC